AAGUCGUAACAAGGUUUCCGUAGGUGAACCUGCGGAAGGAUCAUUGUCGAAACCUGCCCAGCAGAGCGACCCGUGAACAUGUUCAACCUCGUGGGUGUCGGGGCGUCGCUCGGUGCCUCGUGUGCCGGCCCGUCCCUAUCCCAAGCCGGGGAGCGCUCACCCGUGGGACGUUUCYCGGCAAAACAACGAACCCCGGCGCGUAAAGCGUCAAGGAAUACAAACUCUAUGUGUGCGCUCUCCCGCUGCCCGGUCAGCCGGGCGUUGGAGCGGUGCCAUGUCUUAACAAUAAACGACUCUCGGCAACGGAUAUCUCGGCUCUCGCAUCGAUGAAGAACGUAGCGAAAUGCGAUACUUGGUGUGAAUUGCAGAAUCCCGUGAACCAUCGAGUUUUUGAACGCAAGUUGCGCCCGAAGCUUCGGCUGAGGGCACGUCUGCCUGGGCGUCACGCAUCGCGUCUCCCCCAAACCCACCCCGAGUGGAGGGGAAGGAGGAUGGUCUCCCGUGGCUCACCGGUCGCGGCUGGCCUAAAAUCGGAGCCCUCGGCAUCGGGAUGCCGCGGCGAUAGGUGGUGAACAAGGCCUCGGCCGAGCAAGCAACCCGUCGCGUGUCGCGGUGCCAAGGAGAGCUCGAAGGACCCUUUGACGUUGCCUUGUUGCAACCAAACCGUUGCGACCCCAGGUCAGGCGGGGCU
Molecule: ribosomal RNA, 691 nt
Filed under: Silene latifolia subsp. alba (white campion)
Lineage: Eukaryota; Viridiplantae; Streptophyta; Magnoliopsida; Caryophyllales; Caryophyllaceae
Description: eukaryotic LSU rRNA
Rfam family: 5.8S ribosomal RNA (bases 292-445)
Source: RNAcentral